UGGGGAAUUUUGGACAAUGGGCGAAAGCCUGAUCCAGCAAUGCCGCGUGUGUGAAGAAGGCCUUCGGGUUGUAAAGCACUUUUGUCCGGAAAGAAAUCCUUGGCUCUAAUACAGUCGGGGGAUGACGGUACCGGAAGAAUAAGCACCGGCUAACUACGUGCCAGCAGCCGCGGUAAUACGUAGGGUGCAAGCGUUAAUCGGAAUUACUGGGCGUAAAGCGUGCGCAGGCGGUUUGCUAAGACCGAUGUGAAAUCCCCGGGCUCAACCUGGGAACUGCAUUGGUGACUGGCAGGCUAGAGUAUGGCAGAGGGGGGUAGAAUUCCACGUGUAGCAGUGAAAUGCGUAGAGAUGUGGAGGAAUACCGAUGGCGAAGGCAGCCCCCUGGGCCAAUACUGACGCUCAUGCACGAAAGCGUGGGGAGCAAACAGGAUUAGAUACCCUGGUAGUCCACGCCCUAAACGAUGUCAACUAGUUGUUGGGGAUUCAUUCCUUAGUAACGUAGCUAACGCGUGAAGUUGACCGCCUGGGGAGUACGG
RNAcentral lists this ribosomal RNA (536 nucleotides) under uncultured bacterium. RNAcentral describes it as "partial 16S ribosomal RNA". It matches the Rfam family "Bacterial small subunit ribosomal RNA", at positions 355 to 885 of the family's 1533-position model. The record is from RNAcentral.